This 78-nucleotide small RNA is filed under the name Flavobacterium granuli. RNAcentral's name for it is "Flavo-1 RNA". It matches the Rfam family "Flavo-1 RNA". The record is from RNAcentral. Lineage: Bacteria; Pseudomonadati; Bacteroidota; Flavobacteriia; Flavobacteriales; Flavobacteriaceae.
CACUAGCCCUGAUAGCAGCGGCAUCCUUUUAUUUUUUUCUUUAAAAAAUAAAAGAUAAAGCGGAUAGCAGGAAUAAGC